Molecule: long non-coding RNA, 1244 nt
Filed under: Saimiri boliviensis boliviensis (Bolivian squirrel monkey)
Lineage: Eukaryota; Metazoa; Chordata; Mammalia; Primates; Cebidae
Description: lncRNA (ENSSBOG00000036588.1)
Source: RNAcentral
CCUGGCGGGAAGAGGCGUUCUCGGGACACAAGAGGGCACUGCAGCCCAGGGCAGAGCAGGUGUGGCCAUGGGUGUGCAGCUGCUGGCGGGACAGUCUGCUCAGCAUGGCCCAAGUCCCAGAAUUCUGCCCAGCGGGAACCCAAGGUCCGGGGAGCAAGGCCACGGGAGGGGCCUUCGGAGGGCUUGUGAGACGGGACGUGUGAGCACAUGUAUGUGUGUGUUCCACGGGCUGCAGCUAGCGAAAGGGCCGUAAAGUGGAUUGUGGGAAGGUAAAGCUGGCAGCCUUUGCCGUUGGAGGUGGGUGAGAGCUUGGCUCUGCCCACUGGGGGGGUGGGGACUUCUCCCUACUCUCCCACCCACUGCUCCCACCCUUUAUUUUCCCACCAGACUUGGCCUGGCCUUCAGCCCCUGGGGCAAGCCUGACCUGAAGUCCUCCUCUCAGCAGGGGCUGGAAGGCCAGUGCUCCCACCUCUGCUGGGGGUCAGGCAGGGCAUGGAAUGGCCCCGGACAGGCCAGGAGAGGGACAAGGACCCCACACACUGGACAUGAAUGAAACACACGCAAACGCUUAACAGCUGUUGUGGGAACAGCUACCAUGCAGCCGUGCCCGGCUCGUUCCUCCAAGGGGACCCUGGCAUGGGCCCACGGGCAGCACUGCCUGCUCCCUCGGCAGUCAGGAGUGGCUCGGGGGUGGCGGUGUCUAAAGGGGCUGGUUGCCAUGGCUACCAUAGGGUUCCGAGGCCCGUCAUCUGGUCCCUGCUUCAGCCAAUCGGCGGCGGGAGCCCAAGCUGCAGCCCAGAGUCACGCUUCUGCCUCCCAGCCACACAGUGGCCAAGAGCAGGGACCUGCUUCCUGGAGUGGCUGGAAGUGCUCGGACGGACGUCCAAGCCCAUCAUGGCGGACAGCGGGACGGUGGGGCAGAAGCAGGCACACGGAGCCAGGCAGGUGAGGGCAGGUACCCCGAGGAGCUGGAGGCCCAAGGGCCUUGUUCUGGUCCCAGGGCUUGGGGACCCCCGCCACCGAGGGCCAAGAGGAGGAUGGACACGGACACAGCCCCGAGAGCCUGGCCCAGCCACAGCGGCAGCUCCGCAGAACCAAGGCAAGCGCUGGGGGCCCGUGUUGGGAGUUGGGGGGAGCCCAUGGGCCAGUUUCUGAGGUCCUGCUGUCUGGCUGGCAACUCAGGACUCCCUCAUCACUGGAAACUCUGCUGUGCCAUGGAGGCCACCCACUCUGUCUCCUCUAAG